Molecule: ribosomal RNA, 218 nt
Filed under: uncultured bacterium
Lineage: Bacteria
Description: partial 16S ribosomal RNA
Rfam family: Bacterial small subunit ribosomal RNA
Source: RNAcentral
AUUGAACGCUGGCGGCAUGCCUAACACAUGCAAGUCGAACGGUAACAGGGGCUUCGGCCCGCUGACGAGUGGCGGACGGGUGAGUAACGCGUAGGAAUCUUCCCAGUAGCGGGGGAUAGCUCGGCGAAAGACCGGAUUAAUACCGCAUACGCCCCACCGGGGAAAGGACAGGGGAGUCGUGAGACCUUGCACUAUUGGAUGAGCCUACGUCUGAUUAG